GCCGAAGUGGCGGAACUGGCAGACGCGUACGGCUCAGGACCGUAUUCCCGCAAGGGAUUGAGGGUUCAAAUCCCUCCUUCGGCA
Molecule: transfer RNA, 84 nt
Filed under: Pseudomonadota bacterium
Lineage: Bacteria; Pseudomonadati; Pseudomonadota
Also listed under: 1 other name
Description: tRNA-Leu
Rfam family: tRNA
About the family: Transfer RNA (tRNA) molecules are approximately 80 nucleotides in length. Their secondary structure includes four short double-helical elements and three loops (D, anti-codon, and T loops). Further hydrogen bonds mediate the characteristic L-shaped molecular structure. tRNAs have two regions of fundamental functional importance: the anti-codon, which is responsible for specific mRNA codon recognition, and the 3' end, to which the tRNAs corresponding amino acid is attached (by aminoacyl-tRNA synthetases). tRNAs cope with the degeneracy of the genetic code in two manners: having more than one tRNA (with a specific anti-codon) for a particular amino acid; and 'wobble' base-pairing, i.e. permitting non-standard base-pairing at the 3rd anti-codon position.
Source: RNAcentral